AGGGGGAUGAUGUCAUUGUUGUCAGAUAUGUUAAUCUAAAAGCAGCAUCAUUCGACUACCUGAGAAUAUGGAUGUCGAGAUAAAUAAUAUCAUGGUUUGCCAUGCAGGAGCAUCUGAUGACGUCUUGGAGCUUCUGGUUCGUGCUGGCAGAAGUCUGCCUAAAGCUAUCAUGAUGAUGAUACUUGAGGCGUGGCAAAAUGUUAAAAACAUGGAUUGUGAUACAAAGGCCUUGUACAAAUAUUUUUCAGCUCCUAUGGAGCCAUGAGAUGGACCUGCACUUAUAUCAUUUACUAAUGGCGGCUAUCUUGGAGUGACAUUGGACCAGAAUGGAUUGCGCCCCAGUCCGUUUUACAUCACACAUAUUGGACCCGUGAUCAUGGCCAGUGAGGUUGGUGUUAUAGACAUCUACCAGGAGAUGUGGCUAGGAAAGGAAGACAUCUGAUCUGUCCGAAGGGGACCUUACUGAAACAGUUCAUGUGGAAGGCUAUGUGGCAGUUCAUGUGCAUUUGUAUUUUAUUUUGAAAACUUUAAAUAGACCAUUAAUUGUUUUGUUGA
This is a long non-coding RNA of Magnolia sinica, 555 nucleotides long. RefSeq lists it as uncharacterized. NCBI's taxonomy places the organism in Eukaryota, Viridiplantae, Streptophyta, Magnoliopsida, Magnoliales, Magnoliaceae. The transcript has 3 exons. The record is from RefSeq and is a predicted model, not a curated record.